This 403-nucleotide ribosomal RNA is filed under the name uncultured bacterium. Its description in RNAcentral is "bacterial SSU rRNA". It matches the Rfam family "Bacterial small subunit ribosomal RNA", at positions 362 to 758 of the family's 1533-position model. The record is from RNAcentral.
UUUUGGACAAUGGGCGCAAGCCUGAUCCAGCAAUGCCGCGUGAGUGAAGAAGGCCUUCGGGUUGUAAAGCUCUUUUGUCAGGGAAGAAACGGUGAGCUCUAAUACAGUUUGCUAAUGACGGUACCUGAAGAAUAAGCACCGGCUAACUACGUGCCAGCAGCCGCGGUAAUACGUAGGGUGCAAGCGUUAAUCGGAAUUACUGGGCGUAAAGCGUGCGCAGGCGGUUAUGUAAGUCAGAUGUGAAAUCCCCGGGCUCAACCUGGGAAUGGCAUUUGAGACUGCAUGGCUAGAGUGUGUCAGAGGGGGGUAGAAUUCCACGUGUAGCAGUGAAAUGCGUAGAGAUGUGGAGGAAUACCGAUGGCGAAGGCAGCCCCCUGGGAUAACACUGACGCUCAGCACGAAA